This is a non-coding RNA of Nylanderia fulva, 591 nucleotides long. NCBI's taxonomy places the organism in Eukaryota, Metazoa, Arthropoda, Insecta, Hymenoptera, Formicidae. The record is from RefSeq and is a predicted model, not a curated record.
AGUGUGUGUUGCGAAGUCUGAAUACCAAAUGUGCAUUCCUUCGAUUCUACAAAGAAAAUUAAAAAAAAAUCAAAAAAGGAAACAGUUUAUGAUAAUAAAAAUGUGAUAGAAUCUAACGAUGAAUAUGAAGAUGACGAUGAAUAUACAGAUUUAAGUAAAAAUAGUUCAAGUAAUCAAUCUACAAGAAUAUUAAAAAAACCGGAGAAAUGCUUAGCAGGAAAGAUAGUAUAAAUAGUAGUACAGAAAAAAGAAAGAAGAGAAUAUCUCCUUUUGGUCGUAAAAGAAGACAAGCUAAUAAAAUCCGAUGGACUGAUAAUGAACGCGAAGCGGUCUUAUCCUCAUUUUCAGUCAAUAUAAAAAAUAAUAAAUUGCCAUCUUUUAGUCAAAUAAAUGAAAUAAAAGUCAAGUAUCCUAUAUUGAAAAACCGCACAAACGCUCAAAUAAAAUCUUGGAUUAGUAAUCAAAUAAAAACAAAAAGUUAAUUAUUUUAAAGGUAUUAUUAUAUAUAUUUAAAAGUAUAACUAUUCUAAAAAUUUGAUACGUUCAAUACAAAAAGACAAAACAAUAUUGAAUGUUUUGUUUUUUUUUAUU